AGAAAACAGAGUCAUGGAGACCUUAGAGAAAGGGACAGAGCUCAGCACUGACACAAUCCAGACAACUGACACUGGGAGCAACUCUUACUGUAUCUCACCCACAGCUUGAAGAAGAGUGCUCCACUGGGAGUUGCAGCAGUAAUCACAAGAGGAAAGAAAGGAACUUGUUCAUUCAAACAGAAAGACAGUGGAACAAUGAGAUGGACACCUGCAGUUUAAACUUCCAUCAACUGGGAAAGUUGCACCCUAGAAACAGAGGUUUGAGUUCCAUUCUCUGCUCUUGUUAAAGGGAUUGCCCCAAUAAAUUCAGUUUUCUAAUCUCAGCCAUUGCUAAUUUCAAACUCACUUCUAUGGUACAGUGUCACAGUUUGUAUGGCAAGUCUUAAUAAGGUGCUGCAGCUGCCCUAGCCUGCUGCAUCUCCCUGCCUCUGGCCACACAUUCCCAGUAGCUUCCUUGCUUUAAUCACAAUGCAACUUGGAAUGUGAGCAAAACCUAGCACUGUCACCACAAUAAAAGCUGAACUGAGUGGACUCUG
Cyanistes caeruleus (blue tit) is the source of this 536-nucleotide non-coding RNA. The record is from RefSeq and is a predicted model, not a curated record. Lineage: Eukaryota; Metazoa; Chordata; Aves; Passeriformes; Paridae.